Long non-coding RNA from Hemicordylus capensis (graceful crag lizard), 6206 nucleotides. RefSeq lists it as uncharacterized. The record is from RefSeq and is a predicted model, not a curated record. Lineage: Eukaryota; Metazoa; Chordata; Lepidosauria; Squamata; Cordylidae. The transcript has 4 exons.
GCGGGGCUUCCAGAGAUGCCUCUGUGUAGGCCUUGCUGAAGCCUGAACUUGAGUAGGCCGGCAGGCCCCAAGCAAGCAUGGAAGGAGGCAGGCAGAGUGGCCACCACAGUUCUCUGCAGCAGACCCUCUGCCCAGGCCAGCCAGCCCAGCCUUUGCCAGGUUUCCUGACCACCUGCAGAACAUUCAGGAGUUCAGCAUUCAUGGAGGAAUGAUCAGCCAUGCCUUGAGACAAAGCAACCAUAUGUCCGGAUGGAGAAUCGAUCCAUCCUGCUGAAACAGUAGGUGGGGAGACAGAGCUUACAGCACUUCCUCCUGCAGUAAAACCCCCAUUUUGGGAAAUCUCAUGGGAAGUCUUGAUAUGACGACAAAAUACUGCCACUGAGAAGGGUUCCCUGGGUGGUUGUGGACCAGUCAUUCAGCCUAACCUCAUAGCCUUUCCUAAGAUGCUUAGAGGAAAGGUGGAAUACAAAUGAAAUAAAUAAUUUUUAAAAUGUAUUGUGCAUGUCUGAAAAUAAUAUUAAAGAAAAAAUUUAAGGUUAUAAUAUUCUAAUGAAAUGUAGCAUGUGUUCACUGAAGAUGACCGAAAAGUGUUGAGCAAUAUGUUCUAUAUUCUUUUUUUUUUUAAGCCCACCAAAAGACCUUUAAAGUGUCUUAAGCAGACAGGGAAACAAUGAAAGCAUUCCAGGCCACCAGUCACUUUUAACUAUCUUGGGUUAGUAUCGUUACUAAAGAAAGGCUUCAGUUGCAUUUUCACUUUAUCCACAAUAAGCUCUGAUUACAAUAUCGCCCAUGGCCAUUUGAGUCAUUACUGCACACUUCAUGAGAAAUCGAAGUACUAGUGCUAUGGAAAUUAAACUCCUUGACCUGUACAACAUUUUUCCUCUUUGAUGUCAGUCUGAAUUGAGUCUAUAUUCCAGUUUUGACUGGAAUAUAAUGUUAUUUUUUAGACACACAAACUCUCAUACCCGCUACAACACUUGUCAGAAGAAAUCUUAUAGCCACAUUCACUUUCAUGAAUGACAGCAAAGUCAGAAUAUUUAUAAACAAGCAUUUCAUAAAGCUGAGGUUCCUAAAAGCUAUUCUUCUCUUAUUCUGAUCAUAUUUGUUCCUUAGAGGCAGACAAUACUUCCUGUCAAUAGCAAGAUUUGCCCAUCUGUUGCAAUAAGGAUAUUAUUAUUGUCACUAUUAAUACAAUAAAAGCCAUGUCAGAAUUGCCUUUGAGGAACAGAAUGGUCAAAUGUUUCAACCGUUUGUUCCCCUCGGUUUUGACCAGGGUCCUCACACAGGAAGUGUUUUCAGGGCAGAUGGGGAUGUUUCUGGCAAUCUGGAUAGGAAGUGGAAACAAACUUGCUUAUCAGAUCCCUCAUGCCACCUGUGGCAGCUGUCACAGACCCCAUGAACCUGACAAACAGCAACACAGUUAUAUUCUCUCUACAUGGACUGAAGGGAUUGCAAUAUCCAAGAGUUAAAAUAACAUGUUUAAGUCUUUCUUAAGGAGCUAAAGAGCUGCCUUAUACUGAGCUAGAUCACUGAUCCAUCUACUCAGACUGACAAUAGCUCUCAAACAUUAUCUCUCUUAGCCUUGUGACUGAAUUCCUUUAAUUUCUUUAAGUGAUUUAAAAUCUCCUUAAGCGGAGAUGCCAGAGACUGAAUCAGGUACCUCAUGCAUCAGAAGGGUGUGUUCCAUUCCCACUGAACUAUGACCUUCUCAAUAAAUAUACAUGGAACUCAUGUGUCCUGUGUUGGAUGCUAUCUAGCUAGUCUCAAUGUCUGUGCCAGACAUCCACUUCACACUAAUAAAGCUGCUGUGGCCUAAUACAGAUGAAGCUCUCCAAAGUGCCCCCUACCAUCAUGCUCUCCACAAGUAAUAUAUCAGAGGUACUGAUUGAACUUGGAACCUUGGACAUGCAGACCAUGUCCUCUACCAUGUCUUUUCUCUGUCUUCUGGCAUAUUGUGAACUAACAGAGCAAACAAUUCAAUCGAUCAUAAAAAUUAAGAUGCCAGUUUCCCUUGGAAUAGGGUCAGUCUUCCACUGUCCACACACUUUGACAUUAAAUAGUCAGUCCAUGGCACAAGGAUGGGCAGCAGCUUUGGCAGCACAAUUUCCAUCCCACCACCUGGAAAACAGCAAGUUGUAUUGCUGUGGAUGGGAAACAUUUUUGUAAGCAAAUAAACGUAGAAAAUGUGCACUCCAGAGUCACAUAGGAUGAGUGAACAUUCUCUGAAGGCCCCUGAUCCCCCCAGCCCCUGUCGGCUCCAUAACGGAGCCGGCAGUCAUGUGGGCAGCCAAUCCGGCUGCCCAGGGCUGCCUCCCUGCUCAUGUGCAGGGACAGUGAGCUAAGCCCACUUUCACCGCUAACGUUUUACGUGUCCUUCAACAAGUGCCCUGCUUCUAACCCAUUCUCCCAACUAAGCAGAAGAAUUCCAACUCAAGAGACUAGUUCCUUGUGAAUGAAAGAACAGACCAUUUGGGAUCUAAAGACAUUCAGAUGAAAUUGGCAAGACUGGGAUAUGAAUCUUUGGAGGCACUCAACAAAAGCAAAUGAAGCUGGCAGCAAAAUCAUAGGGGGGGGGGAGAAAGAAAAACCCUAAGAGGAUAUAUGGAGCAUCAGCACAAAUAUAUGAAGAGUUUAAAAGUAUAUGUUUAUAUUGCCUUGUUUUUGCACUAUUUCUUGUAAGCUGCUUGGAGUCUCUAUGAGAAAAGCAGAGUAAAACCCUUCUAAAUAAAUAAGUGUGCCAUUCAUGGUUAAAGCUAUGUAUUUGCUACCACAAAAUGCACGCUUUUAAGAACCACAAAAGAUAUAAUAUCCAUUUAGGAAUUUGCACUUACAGUAAUUAUCAUGGAAUCAUCAUACUACUACUACUUGCAUGAGUCACAAUUUUUCUUCAUUUACUUAUAAAUCAACACCGCCAAAUAAAUUAAAUGUUGGUGUGCCUAAAGGGUUGUUGAGAAAAUAAUGUAUAUUCACAGCAAGUUAUUUCCCUCAUUCGUCAAGGUGAAUCUUUAUUUUGAUUGUACAGAUGAUUUGGUGAGGAAACUAAAGUUGUUAUUACUUCACAGGGGUGCAGACAGAGGGACAGCUUGAUGAACCUGCUUAAAUUUUGUGUAGAGAGGGGAAAAACUUUUGGGGGGAUUUAGUGAAAUGCGGGGGAACUUCUCAAUUGCUUAAGAGGGGAUCUGUACUCUGUUAUUUCAGGCCAGGUUUCUAAUAUUUAUUUAUUCUAUGUGUGGCCAGUUCAGAGAUUUCUAUUGCCUGCAAAAUAUAGAAGCUAUUGUUACAUACCCCUAAUCCUUUCUGUGUCUAGAGUUGCAGCUCCUGAAAUAAAUAAUUCUAGUACCUGGUCUUUUGGGGAGGUGUGGGAGCCCCUAGGGGCAGAACCCAGAUGGAUCAAGCAGUGGUGCCCAAAAUAGUCAGAGGUAGAACCCAAUGGGAUCUUGAAAUGUAGUCCAAUGGCAAAGGAAUAGAGCCUGCUUUCCCAAGAGCACAGUCACGUCAUAAGGGGGUGCGCACCAGCAGUAUGAGGCAAACCCCAUUCACACAGGUCAGAAUCCAGCAAUGUAAGUUUGAAACUCACCCCCACCCCAAAAGCUCAUGUUAACUUUUCUAUUGAUGUACAAAACCAGUUCGCCCGGUUCGGUUCAAAUUUGAACCGGGAGGGGGAAGUUCAGUUUUGGUUUUGCUCGAAACCUCCCCCACCCCGCCCCGCCUCAGUUCGGUUUGAAUUCAAACCUGCAGCUCGAACCUGAUGGCUGGUUUGGUUCAAAUUUGAACUGGUUCAAAUUCAAACCGGUUUGCACAUCCCUAGUACAGGUCCUCUCCCCAUCAAACAAUAUAUCUAUACAAGCAACUAAAAGGGCAUAACAAGCAGACUGAGCCCAGAUAUAGAUUACACAUUAGCCCUGUUCAGGCAUUCAAAAAAAAAGGAAAAAAGGAAAAAAACCCACCUGGAUCGCCUAAGGCUGCAAAUCACAGAAGUGCCUGCUGCCACCAAAGUAAGGAGCUUCCCUCUCCACAGAAACACUGCUCUUUCCCUAAGCAGUGAAAGGAGGGAAAUAGUUGGCAUGAGGGGGUGGGACUUUCCAACCACUUUAGGCAGCUGUAAUUGCGUUCUUUUGAAUGUCUGAACAGGGCUAUUAUCACAUGUGUAACACCCAUAUGUGCAGCAUAAUAUUGAGAAACUAAACAUACAAAUGGGGAAACAGUACAGCAGCUGAAAAUGUCUAAUCUGAAGAGCAAUCAAUGAAUCUGUGGCAGAGAAUUCAAAAUCCAUUUAAAGCUUUUCACUGAAGGAAGUGAGCUAAUUUAGCCAGAUACUUCAGAGUGAUUCAUAGCAUGUGUGCAUGUUCCAGGACGCAUUAACCCAUUGCACACUCCUGCCCAGGGACAGCGCCCCAAGCCAUUUUGCUCCCUGAAGCAAAGGACAACAUGACCUCCAUCUACCGGGAGGUGCACAGCAAUCUCAGGCCAUGCUGUUGAGGCAACAGUGGUGGCAAGCGAGGACUCGUAGACUAGGCCACCAAGCCAAGCAGUGGUGGCAAAGGCAUUCCUAGAUGGCAUCAAGGUGGGAGGGGGGACAGGGAGAGGUGCACCCCAGCAGGGCAAGGAAGGGGAAAUGAACAGCAUCCUCCAGCAUAAUAACAGUGGGAGCAGGGAGGCCGAUGAGGUGGCUGUUGCCUCUGCUCCUCCUUGUGUCCGAGGUGACUGUCUCACCCUGCCGCAUGUAUGGACCAUCCCUACUGUCUCACCUCAUAUUAUCUCUUUUUCUUUCUUUCUUUCUUUCUUUCUUUCUUUCUUUCUUUCUUUCUUUCUUUCUUUCUUUCUUUCUUUCUUUCUUUCUCUCUCUCUCUCUCUUACCCCUGGACUUCAGGGCCAAGGUCCAAGGCCUCCACCAGUGUUCUCUCUAAUUUUUCCCAUCUGUGUGCGGAAUGAAUUUGGUUCUGAGCAGAAGUAUCAAGGCAGUGUGUGCGCAUGUGCAUUCAGAAUGGGGCCUUCCUGAUUCAACCUGAGCAGGAACUAAAAUUAACUGAGUGGACAAAAAACUUGUGAGCGUACGCAUGUGUACAUGUCUUAGAGGGAACACUGGUCUCUACACCUCCUGCCCCCACAUCCUCUUUAGACUGUUCUGGGUGUUGUUGUUUGUGCCUACAUGUUGUGUCAAGAACCUACAUGUUUAAAAAUGAUGCUUAACUUGUAGUGGGGGGGCCUCCAAAGGCCUUUAGCUCCAGACUCCAAAAUUACCUAGGUGCACCUCUGCGCGUGCACACACACACACACACACACACUGUUCUCCUGCUUGCUACAAUUGGCAGCUACCUCCUCUCCUCUGGGUUGCAUGGCAAUCACUUCGAACAAGCAGCUUGGAGACAGGCAGCUGCUGCUACUGCCAUAGCUCCUUCCUGAAGAGAGCUCCAAGCCCUGACCAACAACCCUAGGUAGCUUACUAGGUUAGGACCCUACUCAAGCCAUGAAGUUCAGAGUUCAAGCCCUGGAAAUCCUGAGCAUUCUAACCACAAAAAGGUGGGAAUCCAGAUUGCAGUCAGCCCCCAGACUAUGCCCUCUGCCCCGGAUGCCCACUCCACUACUCUCAGAUUGAUAUUAUACUCAGUUGCUGGAAAGGUACUUUGCAUAUGUUCAGAAGCACUUUGUUCUUGAACACCAAGUUUAAUUUUGCAUAGUUCAGACUAACUGUGUUUGUCUUAACCCUGUUUUAUGCAAUAUUCAUUUCUCUUCAGAAAGAAAACACAUACCUGAGUGAGAUACAAACCAUCAUUCAUAACAUUUAUGUUCCCAAGAACCCUCUGCUUUAAUGUUGCCUCAAAGUUACAUGUUUUUCAAAAAUGUGUCAUUUUCCCAGUCCACAAACAACUCGGCAACCUCGAAAGCACAAGGAGACAUUACAGCCCUCUAAUGCAGAUAUUCCAAGUAAAUGAAACCUUUUUUCAGUGUGGUUGCCUUUGUAAUAAUAGCCUUCUUAUAUGGUCAAUACUUAUAUAACAGAAGAUGAAAAGGCAUUUUAUAGCUUUUUGGCGAAAGGACUGAAAAUUAACAGCAUACCUGUGGCUAUUCAAAGCCAGGCAGGGAGUCAUUUUCAGGCCAUGGGAAACACCAGAAGUUUUGCAUCUUCAUUCCUGCUUCUUGACUAGUUUCCACUAUUUGUAUAUAGACUUUUUUUUUUCAUGAAGCAAGAUAAAAUUAAAAGCAAC